Molecule: long non-coding RNA, 1002 nt
Filed under: Serinus canaria (Common canary)
Lineage: Eukaryota; Metazoa; Chordata; Aves; Passeriformes; Fringillidae
Description: lncRNA (ENSSCAG00000001976.1)
Source: RNAcentral
UACAAGGAGCUGGACAGAGGGACAAGGAGAUGGACAAGGGUACAAGGAGAUGGACAGAGGGACAAGGAGCUGGACAGAGGGACAAGGAGCUGCUUUGUGCCCGGAGCAGGGACAGCUGGAGGGCCGGGCCACCACCGCUGCCACCCCGCGGUGUCCCGAGAGACUUCGGGCACGGGGACAGGGUCCCCCUAACCCCGGUGGGGGACAGUUUGGGGGUCCAGGCAGGUGCUGCAGGACCAGGAGCACCCUCGGUCUGUCGCCUCUCCCCGCUCCCCCAGGGUCCCCCCGCCCUGGGCACCUCCAGGUGCCACCACAGGAGCUGGCAGAUGUCCCUCGGUGCCCGGAGGUCGCUGCCCGGCUCCCCCCGGCUCCUUCUAGCCAGGUUUGCACGGCGCCGCUCCCGGCUGGGAUCAAACACCCCAGAGCCGCUGUGGGAGCCCAGCACGGCCUGGCACAGGUGCCAGCUGUCCCCAGACCAUCCUGUGACCCGUGCUCGAGUCCCUCUGCCAUCACCCAGCUGGAAAGGGACAGUCCCAUUGAAGCCACCACCAGCCCAUACUCCAUCUUCAACACCGCAGGUGACCCCGACCCCCAAAUCCCUGAAUCUCACAUUUCUCCGAGUUAACAGGGAUGAGGUGCACCCCAAAAAGGCCGUGGCACCCCAAAAAGGCGGUGGCACCCCAAAAAGGCCGUGGCACCCCCCGGGUGAGGCGGGGGGAAGGAGCCCCCCCUGCCACGCGUGUUGCAGGGGCGGGUGAAGCCCCCUCCCCUCCCCCGGGGGUGCUGGUACGGGGGUCCCCGUCCCCUCCGCGCGUCCCCGGACGGGGAGCACACACCCAGCCCGAGGGGAGAGGAAACAUCUGGCAACGCUGAGUCCGGCUGAGCAACGCCGGAGCUGGGCCCAAACAUCUGGAUUUCCCUGGAAACCGGGGAAGGGAAGGGGGAGAAGAGCUCCCUGCGGGACAAGCGGCGGGGGCUGGGGCAGGGGCUGGCUGAAGGGAC